This 4948-nucleotide unclassified non-coding RNA is filed under the name Leishmania donovani. Its description in RNAcentral is "gene:LdHU3.36.6110(CDS-product:ADP-ribosylation_f actor_family_putative)". Lineage: Eukaryota; Euglenozoa; Kinetoplastea; Trypanosomatida; Trypanosomatidae. The record is from RNAcentral.
GUGCGCCACUCUACUGGCUAGUGCUCAUUCCUCUCUUCGCUGUAGCGUGCAGAGUGUGUGCCGGAGCGGGAACUGGACAGAGGUGCUGGCGGGGUACCUCUUUGCGCUGUGCUUUCCGGUUCACUUGUCCAGUCAGAGGAGCCUGCAUGCGUGCGCUUGUGCGGAGUUGCUUCUAGCCCCUCCUUACUUUCUUGUUCUCUCAGUGUACGCGUCUUCGCACGCGCGACCACAAGGGCGAUCCCCCUUUUUUUUUCCCUCUGCCGAACCUCUCUGUGCUCUUUCCUUGGCAAGUACUGCACGUUGCCCUUGCAGAGCUCUUCCUCGCCGUUCUUUUUGUUUGUUUUCCUUCUUUUAUUUUGGUAUCUUUGCUGUGCCAUCACCGCCGCCACACCCCCAUCUCUCUCUCCCCCCUUCUGUGUGUAUGUGUGAAAGCCUUCUGCUUUUGAUGUUACUUUUUUUUUUCGUGUGUGUGUGUGUCUUCGUUUUCCGUUUCGCUUUGUUGCCCCUCACAUCUCUGUACCACUUGCCCUCCCCUUCCUGUCUUUUACGUUAGUUAGAAAUCCCGUGUCUCGUUAGCGUCCUCGCUGCCGCGCGUCAACGCAAAGCCUCCUUUUUUAAGAAGCGCCUCCGACAUAUUUGCAUUUGCCUUCCUCUGCUCCUCUCCAGCCUAUCCACACCUGUGAAAAGAAAUGGAGCGGACGGUGAGUGAGCUGGUGUCGCAGCACGGCCCCACGCCGCACAUGGGCCUGCUGCGAUGCCAGAUGGAGCGUCGUGGCCGGCACAGCCUAAAAGGCUACAAGAAGCGCUUCUGGGUUGUGGAUGAGCGCAACGGCUGGCUAGAGGUGUACAAGAAUGAUCAGGAGCACGUGCCCAUAGAGGUCUUUCGUGCCGCCGACAUCCGCAACGUCAUCUACUCCGAUGAUAAGCAGAACCGCUUCUUUAUGAUGUUGGUGCAGACACGCGGGCCGCGCGAUAUCAAGUUUCGCAUGGGCAGCUUUGAGGAGCGUGAGUCCUGGUCCAAGGCGAUUACGCACAUAAUGGAUGUCUACUCUGCCAUCAACAAGCACAAGAACGUACUGGGCAUGGUGCUGCGGCGCGCCAAAACUGUGUCGGAGGCCCUCGGAGUCAACAUCUCUAUUGACAGCGGACGCCUGCUCGCUGAGGUACCGGAGGACUUGCUGCAGUACGUUGCCGAGGCUGUCGACAUUGCCUUGGUGAGCGUCACGGCGAUUGUGCGCUCCUUCAAGGAGGAAGGAGCGGACAUGCCGCGCAGCUACAUCCUCUACGUGCACGCUAUCACGGAAGAGCAGUCACCGUACCAGCGCAAGGAAACCAAGUACAGCCCAGAAGGGCGGACCAUGACCAUGAACGUGUGUCUUCUCCGAGUCAAGUCCGAGCGGGUCAGCUUUGUCGUGACGCAGCCAGAGGAGGUGUUUCGGCUGGUGCAAUCAAGCGUCUUCCGCAAUCCUGUAAUUGAGGGCUGGAUCGAGAGUGAGCCUAACUGCGCGCGGGCGUGCGCUGCCAUCCAGGACUACCUCGAGCUGCCGGCGGGGCGGAGCAGCUGGAUCACGUUUCAGUGGGGCCAGCACGUGAGCGACAGCGCCAAGGUAGAGGCCUUUCUGCAGAGAUUCGUGACGGCGACCUUCUUCGAGCGCGCUCUGCAGAGCGUCAGGGAUGCCGUGGUGCGUGUGGAGCGGCUGAUCGCGGACACGAAUGCGCAGACGACGGCCAAGAGCUUUACAGGGGGCUCCCCUGCUGCUCCAGCGCGCGACGGCGGCUGCUCAUCGCCGUUCAGCGAGCGACGUCAGAUGACAACUCCUGGCGUAACUGUGCAGCCGGACAGCAUCGUUUUCAGCAACAGCAGCCUUGCAGCAACGAGUGCGACUGGCGGCUUCGGCGGUGCGGCAGGCGGUGGCUUCCAUACUCACCAGCCCGCGACCCCCCCUUUGGCAAAUAACGCUGCGGGUGGCGGGUCCGAUGCCGCGCUUGCCAUUCGGUUUAUCCGUGAGAAUGUGGCAGGGUUGUGCAUCCAGCUGGAUAAACGCGUCGUCGAGAAGGGGACCGCACCGCCGCCGAUUGUCACGCUGCACGCAUCCGAGUACGAGCAGCAUUGCCGGCCCGCGUUCCUGCUGGUGGCCAAGUGCCACCGCGUCUUGCCUCGCAAGCACCACGUGACGAAGGAUGUGCUAAGUGAGGAGCUCUACGAGGUGGCCUACAACGCCUUUCUGCAGCAGCAACUCAGCCUUCUGCGGACCGAGCUGAACGGCAUCUUUCACAAACAGGUGAAGGUGGUCAUCAUGUGGGAUCUCCUCUUUCGCGCCGCCGCAGGCCUGAAGACGCCGGUUAGUGCGGAGGAGUUGCCGCACCUUUUGCGGUACGUGAAAGAUGUUUGCCUGUCGAGGCUACAGCACGUUGCUCAGGUGCUGCGUCAUGCUCGCUCCGACGUCCCCGGGCACGUAGAGGACCACAGCUACCUGUACAAGGCUUUCUGCAGCUGCGUCGGGACCGUUGUGGUCAACUUCUUGCCGUAUACGGUGAGCAGCGACGCGAACGUCUUUGAGCCAAACUUGCAGGCUGGCGUACUGACCGACACGCUCUACUGCACCAAGGAGGAGUCGAUGCCGAGCUUGAUGGCGGCCCUCGGCCACGCCCACCGGGGCAGCGCUAGCAAGACGACGCGGGUCUCGCUGAUGGGAGCGGGCUUUCAUGGCGUUCUUCUGUACGCGGCGGAGGCAAAGCUGGGGGCGUGGUGCGAGAGCUACUUCUCGGACCCCGAGAACGCGACUCCAGACCCGCGACGCCAGCUUGUGGAGGACGAGUUCGACAGCGACACGGAUGGCACGUCGGUCGGGAUGCUGCAGGACCCCGACUUUGGCGAAGCGGUCGCCUACGAGCGGAGCGCUGAGAUUCGGCCGCUGACGAUGCAGCGAGUCGUGAACGCAAUCUACGACUCGCAGCGCCACGCGCCUGUGGAUCUAAAGAUCGGCUCCGAAGACAUCAUGCGCGCCAUCCACGCCUUCGUUUCAGCCUUUGGCGAUGACAAGCGACCCAGCAAGCAUGAUGUGGCGCGCGUCCUCAUCAUCAAUCUUCAGCGUCUGCGUCAAAUGUACGUGCGCGCCGUUGACGACGAGACGACGUCGCUGCUGACGUUCGAGCAAGCGCGCCAGCUCCUGCGCGACUUCUGCGAGUACCAAACAAAUGAGCAGUACAUUGAUGUGGCGCUGCGCGAGGUGCCUAGGCUGGGGACGGAGCCAGCGUCGCCGCAGGAGGGGCAGGAAGGAUCCCAGAGAGAGUCGCACGAGCCGGUGAGGACGGUGAAAGAGGAGAUGGAUGCUGACGUGAGUGACAGCGGCCACCCUCUAGAGGAGAAUAAUGCAUACCCGCGCAGCCCCCGCCCCCGCGCCAUGAACGAAGCCAGCUUGAGUGUCGUGAGUAACGGCACUGCGAACGGCGCCGAGGUGACGAGACGCGGGAAUAGGCGCUGCUCUUUGUCGCGGCGGCGGCUACAGAGCAACAGCAAGAGAGCCAGCGCCAUCGUUGCUUCCCGCACCGCGGAAAGCCCAUCAGCCCGGUCAGCUUUGGUGACACCAGGCGCGAUGUCCGACCGUAGCGAGCCGCAUAUCCGCGUUCCCUCCACAACGUCCGAUGCCUUCGACUUUGCCUCUGUCACAGACGUAGCGCUGACGGUGUUGCUGCCGCGCGAGGCCCGCCUGGCUCGUCUCGCGUGGCGUGUCGGGUUUGUCUUCGGCCUUGAGAACACCGGCAAAUCGCUCAUCAUCAACUCCAUGCGCGGCAUCGCAAGGCCGACGGUAGCGACGGUGGGCCUCUCCCAGCAAGUCGUCGCCUUUGAUGAGUGGGUGUGGGCACUGAAUGAGCUUGGCGGUCGAGAGAGCUUUCGCAAGAACUGGCGCUACUACGCACUCCGAAUCGACACCGUUCACUUUCUCAUGUUCGUUCUCGACGUUCUCAACGGGCAAGCGCUGGGCGAAGCGCGGCAGUAUCUGAAGGAGGUCACCAACCACUACCACGAGGCUCCGCUGCUCGUCAUCUUCAACAAUUUCCGCGAGGGGCACCGACGCUUUGACAUUCGCGAGUUCGAGGCCCUCAUCCAUCUCGAUAAGCUGCGGCGGCGGCACGGCGCCGACGUGCUCUCUUGCGUCUGCGACAUAACAGUGGUGCACUCAAAGAACCGACAGCUCCCGCGAACAUUGAGCUCUACGCUACGCACACUCUCGAGCCUGCUCAAAGCCCGCUCCAAGAGCGAGAAUGGCGGAGACGGGGGAGCUCCACCGGUUCCGAAGGCGACCACUACCUUUUCCGCGAGCGUGGUAGGGGGUGCGGCUGGCGCUGCGGCAGCGGGUGCUGGCGUAGGGCACUCGACGUAGAAAACGCCGGCUGCAGUUGACAAGUAAUGCUGCUCUUUGGGCUACGUUGAACCCCCCGCUACAGCGUGGCCGCGGCGACAUCCACCGCCCACAGGCCUCACCACACACACACACACACACACAUACGACACGACCGCAGUAUCGGCCUUCCUAAAGGUCGGCGAACACAAGGAUCUUGCUCGCAUGAGGAGCUUUCCGUCUCUCAUAUCGUGCCGCUUUUUGUUUCGUUUCCCUUAAUCGACAUGCAUGGCCUCCUUUACCUCUGACUCUGACUCUCUCAUAUAUGCAGUUCAAGUCGGUCGCGUGUACGGGGUCGACACAGUAGAGGAUGAGGGCCUCGAGUGGACUUCUCUCACCAAAUCGCUCCCCCUGUUUUCCCUCUAUUGUUUCGUUUCCCGUCUCGAACGACGCGAACCCAUUUUCCGCACGAUCUUGCGUUUUCUCUUCCUCGCUCCGUGCGUUUUGCGCAGACACUCACACACGGAGCCACUGACGCGCUCUUUGCAGCCCACAUUUGCCAAGCAGCAGUGAAAUAACAAGAAGAAGCCCUUUUUGGAGAAGGC